GUGGGGAAUCUUGCGCAAUGGGCGAAAGCCUGACGCAGCCAUGCCGCGUGAAUGAUGAAGGUCUUAGGAUUGUAAAAUUCUUUCACCGGGGACGAUAAUGACGGUACCCGGAGAAGAAGCUCCGGCUAACUUCGUGCCAGCAGCCGCGGUAAUACGAAGGGGGCUAGCGUUGCUCGGAAUUACUGGGCGUAAAGGGCGCGUAGGCGGACAGCUUAGUCAGAGGUGAAAGCCCAGGGCUCAACCUUGGAAUUGCCUUUGAUACUGGCUGUCUUGAGUUUGGGAGAGGUGAGUGGAACUCCGAGUGUAGAGGUGAAAUUCGUAGAUAUUCGGAAGAACACCAGUGGCGAAGGCGACUCACUGGCCCAAUACUGACGCUGAGGUGCGAAAGCGUGGGGAGCAAACAGGAUUAGAUACCCGGGUAGUCC
Molecule: ribosomal RNA, 425 nt
Filed under: uncultured bacterium
Lineage: Bacteria
Description: partial 16S ribosomal RNA
Rfam family: Bacterial small subunit ribosomal RNA
Source: RNAcentral